CCUACGGGUGGCAGCAGUGAGGAAUAUUGGUCAAUGGACGAGAGUCUGAACCAGCCAAGUGGCGUGAAGGAUGAAUGCCCUAUGGGUUGUAAACUUCUUUUAUAUGGGAAUAAAAUGUUCCACGUGUGGGAUUUUGUAUGUACCAUAUGAAUAAGGAUCGGCUAACUCCGUGCCAGCAGCCGCGGUAAUACGGAGGAUCCGAGCGUUAUCCGGAUUUAUUGGGUUUAAAGGGAGCGUAGGUGGAUUGUUAAGUCAGUUGUGAAAGUUUGCGGCUCAACCGUAAAAUUGCAGUUGAAACUGGCAGUCUUGAGUACAGUAGAGGUGGGCGGAAUUCGUGGUGUAGCGGUGAAAUGCUUAGAUAUCACGAAGAACUCCGAUUGCGAAGGCAGUUCACUGGACUGCAACUGACACUGAGGCUCGAAAGUGUGGGUAUCAAACAGGAUUAGAUACCCCAGUAGUC
This 460-nucleotide ribosomal RNA is filed under the name uncultured bacterium. RNAcentral's name for it is "partial 16S ribosomal RNA". It matches the Rfam family "Bacterial small subunit ribosomal RNA", at positions 338 to 795 of the family's 1533-position model. The record is from RNAcentral.